GAUGAACUCUGGCGGCGUGCUUAACACAUGCAAGUCGAGCGAAGCACUUAUGAUGAUCCUUCGGGUGAUUCAUUUAUGACUGAGCGGCGGACGGGUGAGUAACGCGUGAGUAACCUGCCUCAUACAGGGGAAUAACAGUUAGAAAUGACUGCUAAUGCCGCAUAAGCGCACAGGACCACAUGGUCUGGUGUGAAAAAACUCCGGUGGUAUGAGAUGGACUCGCGUCUGAUUAGCUAGUUGGUGAGGUAACGGCCCACCAAGGCGACGAUCAGUAGCCGGCCUGAGAGGGUGAACGGCCACAUUGGGACUGAGACACGGCCCAAACUCCUACGGGAGGCAGCAGUGGGGAAUAUUGCACAAUGGGGGAAACCCUGAUGCAGCGACGCCGCGUGAGUGAAGAAGUAUUUCGGUAUGUAAAGCUCUAUCAGCAGGGAAGAAAAUGACGGUACCUGACUAAGAAGCCCCGGCUAACUACGUGCCAGCAGCCGCGGUAAUACGUAGGGGGCAAGCGUUAUCCGGAUUUACUGGGUGUAAAGGGAGCGUAGACGGCUUUGCAAGUCUGACGUGAAAAUCCGGGGCUCAACCCCGGAACUGCGUUGGAAACUGUGAGGCUUGAGUGCCGGAGAGGUAAGCGGAAUUCCUAGUGUAGCGGUGAAAUGCGUAGAUAUUAGGAGGAACACCAGUGGCGAAGGCGGCUUACUGGACGGCAACUGACGUUGAGGCUCGAAAGCGUGGGGAGCAAAC
Molecule: ribosomal RNA, 744 nt
Filed under: uncultured bacterium
Lineage: Bacteria
Description: bacterial SSU rRNA
Rfam family: Bacterial small subunit ribosomal RNA
Source: RNAcentral